RNAcentral lists this ribosomal RNA (800 nucleotides) under uncultured bacterium. Its description in RNAcentral is "bacterial SSU rRNA". It matches the Rfam family "Bacterial small subunit ribosomal RNA", at positions 8 to 797 of the family's 1533-position model. The record is from RNAcentral.
AGAGUUUGAUCAUGGCUCAGAUUGAACGCUGGCGGCAGGCCUAACACAUGCAAGUCGAACGGUAACAGAAAGCAGCUUGCUGCUUUGCUGACGAGUGGCGGACGGGUGAGUAAUGUCUGGGAAACUGCCCGAUGGAGGGGGAUAACUACUGGAAACGGUAGCUAAUACCGCAUAACGUCGCAAGACCAAAGAGGGGGACCUUCGGGCCUCUUGCCAUCGGAUGUGCCCAGAUGGGAUUAGCUAGUAGGUGGGUAAAGGCUCACCUAGGCGACGAUCCCUAGCUGGUCUGAGAGGAUGACCAGCCACACUGGAACUGAGACACGGUCCAGACUCCUACGGGAGGCAGCAGUGGGGAAUAUUGCACAAUGGGCGCAAGCCUGAUGCAGCCAUGCCGCGUGUAUGAAGAAGGCCUUCGGGUUGUAAAGUACUUUCAGCGGGGAGGAAGGGAGUAAAGUUAAUACCUUUGCUCAUUGACGUUACCCGCAGAAGAAGCACCGGCUAACUCCGUGCCAGCAGCCGCGGUAAUACGGAGGGUGCAAGCGUUAAUCGGAAUUACUGGGCGUAAAGCGCACGCAGGCGGUUUGAUAAGUCAGAUGUGAAAUCCCCGGGCUCAACCUGGGAACUGCAUCUGAUACUGGCAAGCUUGAGUCUCGUAGAGGGGGGUAGAAUUCCAGGUGUAGCGGUGAAAUGCGUAGAGAUCUGGAGGAAUACCGGUGGCGAAGGCGGCCCCCUGGACGAAGACUGACGCUCAUGUGCGAAAGCGUGGGGGAGCAAACAGGAUUAGAUACCCUGGUAGUCCA